This 253-nucleotide ribosomal RNA is filed under the name uncultured bacterium. RNAcentral's name for it is "partial 16S ribosomal RNA". It matches the Rfam family "Bacterial small subunit ribosomal RNA", at positions 524 to 776 of the family's 1533-position model. The record is from RNAcentral.
UACGAAGGUGGCAAGCGUUGUUCGGAUUUACUGGGCGUACAGGGAGCGUAGGCGGUUGGAUAAGCCCUCCGUGAAAUCUCCAGGCUUAACCUGGAAAGUGCAGAGGGGACUGUUCAGCUAGAGGAUGGGAGAGGAGCGCGGAAUUCCCGGUGUAGCGGUGAAAUGCGUAGAGAUGUGGAGGAACACCGAUGGCGAAGGCAGCCCCCUGGGCUAACACUGACGCUCAUGCACGAAAGCGUGGGGAGCAAACAGG